CGGUCAAAGACACCCUUUCGGUCAAAGCAGAGCUUCCCGUGCGUGCUGUCGUUUUUUUAAAAGCCCGGAAAGCGAUCGGAGUCUAAACAAAACGGCACCCCGAUUACGGCCUUCACAUCAGUCACAUGGCCCCGCUAGUGCUUGCUGAUCGCCCCUCGUAAUCUCUCGGGACCUGUCUUUUACGCAUCGCGUCCCCUUCCAUUCGAGCACAUCUUUUCACCUCCAUCGAUGGCUUAGGCGCUUAGCUGCUUAGUAGGUUAGGCUAAUCCCAGCAGUAGCGGCAGUAGAUUACCUUUACUUGCCGCUGCUCCUUCUUCUUCGACUGCUUUUUCGCGGCAGUAUCUUACUUUGAUGGCGUGUAGGUGGUGGUCCAGCGCCCUGUGGAUCGUGUGGUCGUACGGUUUCUUGUUGCGGCAGUGAUUGCUUCUGGGGCCAUGGCCAAUCUGGCUGCUGCUUCUGCUGAAAAUGUCGCUCAGAGCAGCAGUGAUCACCACAAAAAUGUCCGUCCUCAAUUUUUCAUCAGCCAGUAAACUUAUUUGAGCUAGCUUACAAUGUUCCUGCUUGUGAGUUCCAAAGGGUAGGGACUAAUCCAAUCUGGCUUGUUCUGCAUGUGAUUCGACCUAUAAACUUGGUCUUUGUUCUGGGGUUGAUAUUUGGAUCCUCAUCAUGAUAGAUUUUGUUCGGUAGGCAA
Panicum hallii is the source of this 691-nucleotide long non-coding RNA. RefSeq lists it as uncharacterized. NCBI's taxonomy places the organism in Eukaryota, Viridiplantae, Streptophyta, Magnoliopsida, Poales, Poaceae. The record is from RefSeq and is a predicted model, not a curated record. The transcript is spliced from 2 exons.